Molecule: ribosomal RNA, 443 nt
Filed under: uncultured bacterium
Lineage: Bacteria
Description: partial 16S ribosomal RNA
Rfam family: Bacterial small subunit ribosomal RNA
Source: RNAcentral
GAUGAACGCUGGCGGCAUGCCUAACACAUGCAAGUCGAUCGGUAAGGCUCUUCGGAGUACACGAGAGGCGGACGGCUGAGUAACGCGUAGGAACACACCCUGCAGUGAGGGAUAAGACACCGAAAGGUGUUCUAAUACCGCAUACGGUCUUCGGAUUAAAGCAUUUAUGCGCUGAAGGAGUGGCCUGCGUCAUAUUAGAUAGUUGGUGAGGUAAUGGCUCACCAAGUCGAUGAUGUGUAGCUGGUCUGAGAGGAUGAUCAGCCAGACUGGAACUGAGACACGGUCCAGACUCCUGCGGGAGGCAGCAGUGAGGAAUAUUUCACAAUGAGCGAAAGCUUGAUGGAGCAAUGCCGCGUGCAGGAUGAAGGCCCUCGGGUUGUAAACUGCUUUUAUAAGAGAAGAUUAUGACGGUAACUUAUGAAUAAGGGACGGCUAACUACGUG